Unclassified non-coding RNA from Mesocricetus auratus (golden hamster), 317 nucleotides. Its record names the gene 7SK. It matches the Rfam family "7SK RNA". Rfam says of the family: 7SK was discovered as an abundant small nuclear RNA in the mid-70s but a possible function has only recently been suggested. Two independent studies have found that 7SK RNA binds the CDK9/cyclin T complex (known as elongation factor P-TEFb). P-TEFb activates transcription by phosphorylating the C-terminal domain of RNA polymerase II. NCBI's taxonomy places the organism in Eukaryota, Metazoa, Chordata, Mammalia, Rodentia, Cricetidae. The record is from Ensembl.
CAAUGUGAUAAUCUGGCUGCCACAUCUGUCACUGCAUUGAUCACCAGGGUUGAUUAGGUUGUUCUGGCUGGCUAGGUGGUGCCCCUUUCCUCCCUCUCAGUUCUAUGUGUGUCUCUCCUGAAGCUGCAAGUUCAGUCAAAGUGGACUACCGUCCCCAAAUAGAGGGAUGACCUUCAGUCUAAGGUGUAGGAGUAGCUGCACUCUCUUGCUAGAACCUCCAAAGAAGCUCUAAGGUCUCCUUGAUCUUAAGAAGCAGGCAUCAUAGCAAUAGUUUCUUUCUUAUUCUGAACUUUGCCACAUGUAAUCUAAACUCCUGA